This 687-nucleotide long non-coding RNA is filed under the name Chinchilla lanigera (long-tailed chinchilla). Its description in RNAcentral is "lncRNA (ENSCLAG00000023908.1)". The record is from RNAcentral. Lineage: Eukaryota; Metazoa; Chordata; Mammalia; Rodentia; Chinchillidae.
ACAAUAGUGAACACUUUCCCUAUGAUCCAAUAGGAAAGACAGAAAUCAUCUGACAUGAACAUGGAAAACCGCACCCUAUGGCCAAGCAAGGUACAGAAUAUUGAAAGAUGAGAGAGAGAGAGAGAGAGAGAGGAGGAAGACAAAGGAAGAGGGAGGAGAAGAGAGGAGAGGAGGGAGGAGGAGAGAGAAAGGAGAAAGGAGAGGGAGAGUUAGAGAAGGAUGGAGUGGGAAGAGAGAAGAGGGGAAGGAGGGGAGAGAGUGGGGAGUGGGAGAGCGACGGGGUGGGGUGCAGUGGGGAGGAACUGGAUAGAGGAUUUGCGAAGAUACUGGUUCUCAUUGUGGAUAAGUGAGUUUUUCAGGAGCGUCCCCUCUGAUUGUAGGAACUGUGGUCUCUGGGUGCCCAGUGCUCUCUUCAGAGAAACAGGGAAACUGCUGCGGAUGCAGGGUCAAGAUCCCCUCAGAUGCUCCCUUUCAUGUGCUGAAGUGUUAGUUGUGGCCCCAUUAACACUCUGUGAUGGGCGCCUUGGAGGAGCGGAGAGAGAAGCCCAGCUGAGGAAACCAGUGACCAUCUGCAGAGACAGUCUAUGGUUGGCCUUUAUUUCUAAAGAAAAACCCUGGGCCUUACUUUCGUUGUUUCCAGCCCCCGCAAAUGAAAUGUCAAAAAAAUUGCCAGUGCUCUACCACUGA